This 430-nucleotide ribosomal RNA is filed under the name uncultured bacterium. RNAcentral describes it as "bacterial SSU rRNA". It matches the Rfam family "Bacterial small subunit ribosomal RNA", at positions 355 to 801 of the family's 1533-position model. The record is from RNAcentral.
UGGGGAAUAUUGGACAAUGGGCGAAAGCCUGAUCCAGCAAUGCCGCGUGAGUGAUGAAGGCCUUAGGGUUGUAAAGCUCUUUUACCAGGGAUGAUAAUGACAGUACCUGGAGAAUAAGCUCCGGCUAACUCCGUGCCAGCAGCCGCGGUAAUACGGAGGGAGCUAGCGUUGUUCGGAAUUACUGGGCGUAAAGCGUACGUAGGCGGUGACUCAAGUCAGAGGUGAAAGCCUGGAGCUCAACUCCAGAACUGCCUUUGAAACUAGGUCGCUAGAAUCACGGAGAGGUGAGUGGAAUUCCGAGUGUAGAGGUGAAAUUCGUAGAUAUUCGGAAGAACACCAGUGGCGAAGGCGGCUCACUGGACGUGUAUUGACGCUGAGGUACGAAAAGCGUGGGGAGCAAACAGGAUUAGAUACCCUUGUAGUCCCUGAG